RNAcentral lists this long non-coding RNA (6304 nucleotides) under Homo sapiens (human). Its description in RNAcentral is "HSALNT0171623". The record is from RNAcentral. Lineage: Eukaryota; Metazoa; Chordata; Mammalia; Primates; Hominidae.
CCGCCCCGUUCGCCGCGCCUCCUCCUCCGCACAGCUCCGGUUGCGGGGAGGCCCGGGUGGGUACCCGGCGCUCCGGCUCCCAGUCUCCUGGGCUUCUCCAGUCCUUCAGCGCCGUUCUCCGGUCACAGGGAAUGAAAGCGAGGAAGAAGGAAACGGUGUCGAGAAUUGCGAAGAGAGAAAGCAUAGAAAACCCACAUUAGAGGCACUCCCAGAGCAGAAACCCUUCGGAGCAUCCCGACUUCCUCGGCCCGCGUGCAAUCCAGGCAAAAUUGAGGUUGUCUCUGAGCCGCCCUCCCUAAGCAGGUCGGAAAGCCCCCGAAUCAUCCCAGGUCCCGCCGCGCUGCACUCGCAACCUGGGGUGGAGGUCCCUCUAGUGGUUGGCACCAAACAAAAGUUCUGUCUUAUGAAGAGCCGAGGUCAGGAAGCAUUUCCCUGUGCCCAGCGCCAAGGUCUGGGACCUUAGGUCCAAGAAAAGCGUUGGCAAUGUCUGACCACAGGAAUGGGUUCUCGAACUGGGGAGGACUGAAGCUGGAGAUCUGGUCCAGCCCCUACCUCCAGCGUGUGGCCUGAACCCGUUUUGGUUGUACUGCUAUGUUGUGGCCCUGCCCAGGCCUCCAAGGACUGGCUGCUGUUAAGCUGUUUAAAAUCCCUGUAGGCCUCAGAUGGCAGCGACACCAGGGACUCGGCAUAGUCCCCAGCUCUGGCAGGAGUCACCACAGCCCUAGCCUUUAGUUCUCUACAGGCUGGAGUGUCGACAAACUCCACAGGACACAACUUUUUCAAACCAAAUUUACCCUCGCGGUCUGAAAUGACCAGUAGGCCCAGGAGAAUUUUACAUGUGAACAGAACCUAACCCACCCUGGCAAAUAUGAGACGUGUGGUCACUGCGGGAACCUGGCCAGCAGCAGACCAAAGCACAGCCAGCAGGGGAAGGCUGGGGCCCGCAAGAGUUGUGUUACAACAGGACACCCUUCAGUUCUCUUUCACUUCCUUAAAAUAGCAGCAGAGCGACUUUUGUAGACGCAGGCUGCCACAGUUCACACAAGGUCAUGGCUGUUUCCGAAUCCCACCCUUUAUUGCCCUAGCGGAGCCACUCCCCUUACCUCCGCCCCCAGAAACUGCUAGCCUGUUCUUAAAUUGAUACAGUUACCUUUUUAAAUGUUCUAAGUCACCGGCUCUGGAGCUUCUUUGCACUUUGGAACCAACUUGCGGGAAGGAACUUUAAAAAUACUGAUAUCUCGAUCCAUCCCCAGAGGUUCUGAUUUAAUGGUCUUGGGGAUAUGGCCACGGCAUGAGGACUGUUAAAACUCCGCAGGUGAUUCUUAUGUGCAACAAAGUUUAAGAACCACUGAUGUAGGCCAUGUCGAUGUCAGUCUUCACUUAAAUCCAACAAGACCCCAGAGCUAAAACGUUCACCUGAAAGAAACCCCAUUCCCAGGCCUGCAUACUGACCUGCGCUGGCUCACAAGAAGCAAAGUGGUCCCUUAACAGGGGCUUCCUGGAGAAAAUGUCUUGACCUAAAAGAGUGAUUCGAGCUGCAGGGAUUUAAGGGCUCAGUGUGGUCAAAAGAAGACUAUAGAAUCAAGGAUGAAGAGAAGGAACACAGAAUAAAAGGACGUCUCAGCAGGAAGCUCUGUGACUACUAUGUAAUUCUUACAAUACAGCAAAUGAUGCCAUACAGUGAAGCACCUUGAAAGAUUGCUGGGAUAAGCUGACAGCAUGGCAGCCAAAAUAGUGACCCCAGGCUUGCAGGAAUUCUGUGCUUUCUGGAGGAAAUGGUCAUGGGUUUCCCAACCUGCCUUUUAAACUAAGGACCGAGCUGAAGAAGCCCCCGUCUUCCAGCGCAUGUUAUUCCCAUGACAGAUGCUAAAAGUUCAAGGGGAGAGCUACAAGAAGUGCGUUUUCCUGUGGCUACUUUCAUGUCUGGAUGCAAUGCCUAGACCUGCAUCCAUCUUGCGACCAACCUGAAGAUGAACAGAAAGGAAGGAAGGAUGGCCCAAUAGCCUGGGAAGAACUGGUGUUCCUGAUACCAUCAUUAACCACAGAAUCUACAAUCCCGGAACCCCCCAUCCUUAACCAUGGAAUCUACAAUCCUAUCUCUAGACCCUUUGUCCAGAUGCUACAGUUUCUUUGUUCAAUCUAGUUUGUGUCAGGAUUUCUGUUCAUUACAUCAAAAGUAUUCUAAUACUUGUAGCAAAGCAACUGGAGAAGUUUUCACUUUGUCUUUAACCAAAGAAGACUUCCAGGAAACAUCUCCUCAGUGGGUUUCUCCCUCACCACUGGAUUUUUAUCUCUGUACUAGUGCUUUGAUUUGUUUUAGGAGUCUCACCUCUCCACCUGUCAUAUUUCCCUGGCAGGCUCAUUUCUGCUAAUGCCCACAAUAUGUGUAUCAAUGAGCUUUCAACGUUAGGUACACAGCUCUUCAGGCAUGUAUAGCACAUUAAUCUGUCUGCUUCUAAGUGGUCUGUUGACAUGUUUGGGUGCCAGUUAUAUCUACAAGGCUGUGAUCAUUGUCCUGGGUUAUUCUGUUUGUUCUCUCUGCAGGAUGCAUUAGGACACCCAAGGCCAUGGCCAUCACUUACAUCUAGGAUUCAAUCUUAUCUCCUGUGAAUCACUGGAAACCUCCUGUCCUGGAACCCUUUUUUUCCACAUCCCACUGGAUGUCAUUCAUAGCAACUGGUCUUGUGGGUUGUCUAUUUUAUUGUGUUGUCUUACUCUUCCUCCUGGUAUCAGUUUUUAAAUCCUCUUGAUGAGAUCAGCUGAUCAGUCGCUAAGCAACAUAGUCCCCCAUGUCUUUGUAAGAUUCUCUGCACUCAUGGCUAGAAUGAUUUAUUCUGGUAUCUUAAGCUGUGUUUCAGAACCUCAUUCUAAAUAUCAACCUAUUCUUGUAAGUCCACUACUGAUCAUCUUUAGAUAUUCUUCAGUCUUCCAGAGUUCCAAAGGGCAGUAGGAAGAAGCAAUGAAAAUACCACCUGUAUUCUCACAUCUUUCAUUGUUCCACUCAAAAAAUACCACCAUGUUCACUUCUGGUGGAACGUUUAUGUCCAUGAGAAGCAGUGGCUUUGAAGAGUUUUGGCAGACUAUGGCGCCUUACUCAACAUUGGGAAGGUAUCUUGCCAUCAGACCUUUUGGGUCUCCAUGAAACUUCUUAUACCCCCUCUGGGAAAAGUCACUAACUGUGAUCUUACUGAGCUUCUAAACACAGCAUUUUUUUUACACUUAAGUGAGCGGGGGUCCUCCUCAUUUGUGCUUCUCUUCUUGUAAGGGUGACUUCCUCCCAGUAGGAUGAAUCUCAUGCCUAUUUGUGUUAUUUUGCUAAUUCCAGCUUCUUUUCUACUCAGGGGGGUUCCAACUCUUUUAAGGUCUCAUCUUCAGCACUUCUAAACUGUGGGAAACUAUGUGAAAACAAAUGGAGUGGCCAAACACACCAUUCAUCACUGUGCUUCUGGACAGCUGCAAGUCCAUACGUGUUCUGAUAAUUCAAUACAAGAAAGAAGAUUUGCUUGGGAAGGUCUGAAUGGCCCUAGCUUUGUUUGUUAACCAUAACCUCUACCAGCUGGAAACACAAUGCCCCACUAAUACUAACAGUGCCUGCUUGUCCAAACAGCAUUCUGGCCACUUACAGCAAUUGACACAAAUUCUAACAGGUCUGUUAAUGUUUUUCAGAUCCUAAACUUGUAGUAGAUUUUUAUGUUCUCUGCAAUCAGUUUUGCUUCAGCGGCCCUGCAGGUGUUUAUGCGUGCUGGCAUGCUAAAUCUCACCAUUCAAAAUAGUUUAUUUUUUACAACAAAAUCUGAAGAAUAAUUUCUUCAUUUUGUCAAAAAAUACCCCAUUCCUAUUAUUUUUCUCUUCUUUAUCUUCACAGGUAGAUGGGGCAAAGCAUUACCUUGUGUAAAACUGCUGCUAAAAUAUAUUCCUAGUGAGAAAGGUCAACUUGUGGGCUAAAGUCCUUGUCACCUCCUGAUCAGUUUUCACUUAGGGCACAGCAGUCUGCCAUUCACCAUUGGGAUCUCUGUGUGUUUCUUCUCUCUUAUGAAAGGACAUAUUGAGCGCUCUAGGACUUGGCUGCCUACAUCAAGUAGAGGGGGACCCUCAUGAUUCACUAAGGGGCCUCAGUUCUGAAUAUUUCUCAUUAUUCAAAAAUGCAAAGCCAUUGUCAUUACGUGGCAGUUUAUUGGAACCAAGGGAGGAAUUGGUCCCUUUUCAUGUUCUUCUCCUAAAUAGAGAAAAGGUAAUUAAAACUUGGAGCUUAAUAAGGGCCAUCUCUAUUUGAACAGCCUAAUACAAAUCCAUUCUCAAUACCUUUUUACACCUUGUCUGAACUGACUUCUACUGUGUACUCCACUGCAUGGGAAUUCUGGAACUUUAGAACGAAGGGAACUCAAUUCAUUCUAUAUAUAUCUCAUUCAUUCAUUUUUUUUUCAUUUGUUCACCAAAUGCUAACUCAAUACCUACGUAACAGAGAUAAUGUUCUUAUUGUCUGUAAAUCAGAAAAUGCAUGCAUUGAAUAAACGCCAUAUAUUCUUGGAAGCUGAGGGCUGAUAACUCAAGGUAAAUGAUCAGCUAGUCUCCUAUGAAAUAAGUAUCUUAUUUCAUGUUACAUGUAGAAAUGACCAUGCAACUUUAUCUUAAAGCCAGGCCUUAUUGAGAAAAAGGGGAUCCAAAUUCCAAAUGUUUCCUUACAUGCUGAGAGGAAACCUUGGAGGUCUGAGCGUGAGUCAUAGGUAGAGGGAAAUCAUGCUAAGAUAUAUAUUGUUUCCACCAGACAGGUAGAGGAAGCAGAGACCCUUUGGCAGAAGAGAUACAGAGAAGAGAGGAGGAGAGGUUCUGGCUUUACCGUUCAGGCUUGAAACCCCAAGUUUAGAUGGAUUGAGGGGGAAGCUUAAGGCAAACAUGACCCCUGGGCCAACACAGGCUAGAGGAACAAUGUAGAAAUGACCAUGUAACUUUAUAGGCAUGAAGAAGAUGCCUGUGAUGGCACUGAGUCUCCUGUGGCUCCCUUGUGUGCCCAAAUGCCUGAAGGAUGUGAGAGUAUUGGUUGUUAGAAUUUCAGGGAAUUCCACCAAGUGGGGAAUGACUCUGUAUUAAGGGCUGCAAAGAAAAGCUCCCAGGCCAAGCAUUGAGUGGGAGGUGCUACCUGCCCUCAGGGAUCCACAGGGACUUCAACAGCUGAUGUGGGGUCUCAUCAGCCUCAAGGUGGCCAAGUUUCUAUGCUGAGACUAUAGCCCACAGUUACACCAGCCAUGAUCCUCAGCAGCAGAGGUAGUGAUGAUGAAGUCUGAUGCCCAAAGACAAGCAGAACAAUAUGCACAGUUCCAGCCAAUGCCACGAGGUAGCCUUUGUACUUCCCUAUACCUAGCUGGGAGGGAGGAAGGAAGGAGAGAGGAGACUCCUAGGAAGAGGAGAAAAUAAUUAUCCCAAAGAGACUGACAUAACCUGGAAAAGACCGAGAACUACUAAUUAGCAAGAUAAAGUUCAUUUACCUCUUCCUGUUUCUUACCAAGAUGGUAUGUAUCCUUUCAGAUAAUAAAUAAAUUUAUGUUUUCUUGCCCUAUUUUAAUGUGAUUUAAAUGUUUCUUGUUUUUUCUGUUUUCAUUCAUAACAAAAAUUUUGUUCUCAGAGACACUGAGACAUGAGACACGAUGCUGGACUAUAUUGGGGGGGAGCACCUCAUCAUAUGGGCAAGAUAUUGCAGCAGCAUGUAGCCCUCCACGUCCUGACUGCUCACUUCUCUUUCGCCAUCCCCUAACACACGUAUUAGGCUUUUGCUAUGUUCAUUUAUCUAGCCCAUAAGCCACUCCUUCAGAGGGCAAUGCAUGGAAUUGGCAGCCUUGGUUCCCCACCAACUGACAGGGGUCUGGAAUUCAGGUGUUUCCAAAGACCUGCAGUCUUGGGGGCCUUAAUGCUUGCUGAGUAGCAGCACUUUCUAGGACUUUCCCUAUUGUACGUUUCAGUCCAUGCUUUUCUUUUUGUCUUGUCUCAGUGUUCUUCCCUGCUAGUCUGGUUCUCAACAAGACCCAAGCCCUGCAACACACCCAAAUCCCCUUGAUGGGAACCUGAUUUCCUACGUGGCUUUUCCCAGUCACCCCAUGCUCUCCCCACUCCCAUCUUUCCUGGUGAAUUGCUCCUUUCCUAAAUCUGUUGUGAAUAACAAUUUGGCCACAGUGCUAAAGCCUCUCACUCCUCACUUUAAAUUCCUUUGGGAAACAGUCAUUCAUGUUCAUUUUAGACAAUUUCCCUGUCCUGUGCGGACUCUUCUCAAGAAGUCUACUCCCAAAACUCCUGCUGAGGUAGGUCCAGGUCA